UUCGCCAUCUACUAGAUGCCUGAAAUGGACUGACUGAUUGAUACCGGGUUUAUUACCCGGUCCACCACCUGGUUCGUAACCCAGUUCUCAAUCGUGCGUAAUGAGAUACGGUUUGGGAGUCCCCGCAGGAAAGUAGCAAGAUGUGUUCGCUUGAGGGAUUCUAUUAUUGUACAAGCCUUGUCUAGGAAAUUGCUUUGUAUAGGAAAUUGCCUUUGUAGAACGCGGCAAUAUUCUGUAGGUUGUCUGUUUCGGCGUCGCUGUGAAAAAGAACACGGAUAUGAUCAAACAAGUGGCCUUCGAUUGACAGAUAGCCCUUUCUCACACUCACUUUCGUAACGCAAUUUCUUUAAACCGUCAUAUUCUCUUCCCCGUUUUCAAACGUUUGAAGCCUGAGCUACAGUUGUUAAAGAAUUUGAAGUGCAUUUGAAAGAAUGCUGCAGAGGAAUAUUUUCCAUGGCGACAUCUGCAUCUUGCGUGAAGAAAGCACAAAUGAAAGAGAGUGAUGAAACUGAGAAGAGAAGUGAAGUCGUGGCGGUAGCGCCUCCGUGCAGCUUAUUUCCCCGAAUUCCGUCUCUCCAAAGUGUGAGCGGCGGUAGAUCAUCGAUGCACGCGUCGUGUGCGACUAACCAUGAGUUCGUGACGGUUAGUUGAUUUUUCUCAACUGGCGAGCCUGAUUUUGAUACAAUCGAUUGCAGAAUGCAAUGUCGAGGGCGUCACGAAUUUCUCCAUCACAUCGAGAAAAACCUGCAAGGUGUUGCACAUUUCGUUGGGAGACACGAACAACCGGCUGGAAGUCCAAUCACCAGGUCAUGAUUUUCAGAUUCUGUUACGAUGAAGGUUUUCGAGUUGAGAAUAGUAUCCGAGGACUGUGUCCUGAGGUAGCGAACAAGGAAUAGGCUCGGACUAUGAAUUAUUAUGGUCUUUGUUUAGCAUCUAGAAACGCAACAAGAGCAGUCUGCGAGUAGCUGGAUACGUUAAGCUGGUGUUGUUACGGACUAUUUAGUUUUCAUUUUCGCGUAGACGAAGUUCAAUACGAGCAAAAUUUAAACAACAUCGAUUUACUUUACUUUGUAGCUGUU
Molecule: non-coding RNA, 1079 nt
Organism: Physcomitrium patens
Lineage: Eukaryota; Viridiplantae; Streptophyta; Bryopsida; Funariales; Funariaceae
Source: RefSeq, a predicted model, not a curated record